AGCGUUAUCCGGAAUCAUUGGGUUUAAAGGGUCCGCAGGCGGUCAAUUAAGUCAGAGGUGAAAUCCCAUAGCUUAACUAUGGAACUGCCUUUGAUACUGGUUGACUUGAGUCAUAUGGAAGUAGAUAGAAUGUGUAGUGUAGCGGUGAAAUGCAUAGAUAUUACACAGAAUACCGAUUGCGAAGGCAGUCUACUACGUAUGUACUGACGCUCAUGGACGAAAGCGUGGGGAGCGAACAGGAUUAGAUACCCUGGUAGUCCACGCCGUAAACGAUGGACACUAGUUGUUGGGCAUUAGCUCAGUGACUAAGCGAAAGUGAUAAGUGUCCCACCUGGGGAGUACGAUCGCAAGAUUGAAACUCAAAGGAAUUGACGGGGGCCCGCACAAGCGGUGGAGCAUGUGGUUUAAUUCGAUGAUACGCGAGGAACCUUACCAGGGCUUAAAUGUAGUCUGACAGCUUUAGAGAUAGAGUUUUCUUCGGACAGAUUACAAGGUGCUGCAUGGUUGUCGUCAGCUCGUGCCGUGAGGUGUCAGGUUAAGUCCUAUAACGAGCGCAACCCUUGUCGUUAGUUGCCAGCAAGUAAAGUUGGGGACUCUAGCGAGACUGCCGGUGCAAACCGAGAGGAAGGUGGGGAUGACGUCAAAUCAUCACGGCCCUUACGUCCUGGGCCACACACGUGCUACAAUGGUAUGGACAAUGAGCAGCCAUCUGGCAACAGAGAGCAAAUCUAUAAACCAUAUCACAGUUCGGAUCGGAGGCUGCAACUCGCCUACGUGAAG
This 780-nucleotide ribosomal RNA is filed under the name uncultured bacterium. RNAcentral's name for it is "bacterial SSU rRNA". It matches the Rfam family "Bacterial small subunit ribosomal RNA", at positions 537 to 1325 of the family's 1533-position model. The record is from RNAcentral.